This 22-nucleotide non-coding RNA is filed under the name Arabidopsis thaliana (thale cress). Lineage: Eukaryota; Viridiplantae; Streptophyta; Magnoliopsida; Brassicales; Brassicaceae. The record is from RNAcentral.
CUUCAAAGCCUUGUGCAAUCAC